GCUGGGUGUGGUGGUGCGCACCUGUAAUCCCAGCUACUCAGGAGGCUGAGGCAGGAGAAUCGCUUGACCCUGGGAGGCAAGGGUUGCAGUGAACCGAGAUUGAGCCACUGCACUCCAGCCUGGGCAACAGAGCGAGACUUUGUCUCAA
This is an unclassified non-coding RNA of Papio anubis (olive baboon), 148 nucleotides long. It matches the Rfam family "Metazoan signal recognition particle RNA". Rfam says of the family: The signal recognition particle (SRP) is a universally conserved ribonucleoprotein. It is involved in the co-translational targeting of proteins to membranes. The eukaryotic SRP consists of a 300-nucleotide 7S RNA and six proteins: SRPs 72, 68, 54, 19, 14, and 9. NCBI's taxonomy places the organism in Eukaryota, Metazoa, Chordata, Mammalia, Primates, Cercopithecidae. The record is from Ensembl.